Long non-coding RNA from Phascolarctos cinereus (koala), 406 nucleotides. RefSeq lists it as uncharacterized. Lineage: Eukaryota; Metazoa; Chordata; Mammalia; Diprotodontia; Phascolarctidae. The record is from RefSeq and is a predicted model, not a curated record.
UUAGCACAGAGCCAGGCUCAUCGUUGCUUACUUAAUAAAUGGUUGUUGAUUAAUUGAUUGAUCUUGGUACUCAACUGUAAGGACUUUGGGUGAUGCCUCUGUGGAACAUCUGAAGAACAUAGAAAGGAAUUCCAUUAAAUGAGAAAGUACAGAUGAGUUGCAAGGGAGAGAAUACCCACAUUGUUGAGAUCAAAGACCAGCUGACGAAUUGGAGAGGAGGACUGUCUGAAAAGAAAAUAAAUAAAAGGGGAAUGAAGGAAUGGGAAGAGAAGACACUGUUGCUCAAGUUCACCCAUUAGUGAAUAGGUAGAAGGAAGCAUGAAUAUACAAGGCACUAAACAUAAUAUUUGUACUUACAAUUAUGCGACAAAUGCCUUUAUAGCAUUUUAGGAAAGGAAUCUGUCAA